This 492-nucleotide ribosomal RNA is filed under the name uncultured bacterium. RNAcentral's name for it is "partial 16S ribosomal RNA". It matches the Rfam family "Bacterial small subunit ribosomal RNA", at positions 29 to 507 of the family's 1533-position model. The record is from RNAcentral.
AGUGAACGCUGGCGGUAGGCCUAACACAUGCAAGUCGAACGGCAGCACAGUAAGAGCUUGCUCUUACGGGUGGCGAGUGGCGGACGGGUGAGGAAUACAUCGGAAUCUACUUUUUCGUGGGGGAUAACGUAGGGAAACUUACGCUAAUACCGCAUACGACCUACGGGUGAAAGCAGGGGAUCUUCGGACCUUGCGCGAUUGAAUGAGCCGAUGUCGGGUUAGCUAGUUGGCGGGGUAAAGGCCCACCAAGGCGACGAUCCGUAGCUGGUCUGAGAGGAUGAUCAGCCACACUGGAACUGAGACACGGUCCAGACUCCUACGGGAGGCAGCAGUGGGGAAUAUUGGACAAUGGGCGCAAGCCUGAUCCAGCCAUACCGCGUGGGUGAAGAAGGCCUUCGGGUUGUAAAGCCCUUUUGUUGGGAAAGAAAAGCAGCAGGUUAAUACCCCGCUGUUCUGACGGUACCCAAGGAAUAAGCACCGGCUAACUUCGUG